This 806-nucleotide ribosomal RNA is filed under the name uncultured bacterium. RNAcentral's name for it is "bacterial SSU rRNA". It matches the Rfam family "Bacterial small subunit ribosomal RNA", at positions 57 to 838 of the family's 1533-position model. The record is from RNAcentral.
GCAAGUCGACGAGAAGGGGCUUCGGUCCUGAGUAGAGUGGCGCACGGGAGAGUAACGCGUAGGUAAUCUACCUCUGCAUCUGGGAUAACACUUCGAAAGGGGUGCUAAUACCGGAUACACUUAUGUGUCGCAAGACGUAUAAGGAAAGGAGACGAUCCGCAAGGAGUUUCUGUGUAGAGAUGAGCCUGCGUCCCAUUAGCUAGUUGGCAGGGUAAAGGCCUACCAAGGCGACGAUGGGUAGCGGGUCUGAGAGGAUGAUCCGCCACACUGGAACUGAAACACGGACCAGACUCCUACGGGAGGCAGCAGUGAGGAAUAUUGGACAAUGGGCGCAAGCCUGAUCCAGCGACGCCGCGUGAGUGAUGAAGGCCUUUGGGUCGUAAAGCUCUGUCAGCAGGGAAGAACGGCCGUGUGGUUAAUACCCAUGCGGAUUGACGGUACCUGCAGAGGAAGCACCGGCUAACUCCGUGCCAGCAGCCGCGGUAAUACGGAGGGUGCGAGCGUUAAUCGGAAUUACUGGGCGUAAAGGGCGCGUAGGCGGCUGAUCAAGUCAGGUGUGAAAGCCCACGGCUUAACCGUGUGAAGUGCAUCUGAAACUGGUCGGCUUGAGUAUCGGAGAGGAAAGUGGAAUUCCCGGUGUAGAGGUGAAAUUCGUAGAUAUCGGGAGGAAUACCGGUGGCGAAGGCGACUUUCUGGACGAAUACUGACGCUGAGGCGCGAAAGCGUGGGGAGCAAACAGGAUUAGAUACCCUGGUUAGUCCACAGCUGUAAACGAUGUGCACUAGAUGUGGGGAAGUGUUGACCUU